RNAcentral lists this ribosomal RNA (253 nucleotides) under uncultured bacterium. Its description in RNAcentral is "partial 16S ribosomal RNA". It matches the Rfam family "Bacterial small subunit ribosomal RNA", at positions 524 to 776 of the family's 1533-position model. The record is from RNAcentral.
UACAGAGGUGGCAAGCGUUGUUCGGAAUUACUGGGCGUAAAGGGCGCGUAGGCGGCUUGGUCAGUCCCGUGUGAAAUCCCUCGGCUCAACUGAGGAACUGCACGGGAAACUGCCUGGCUUGAGUUCGGGAGAGGGAAGCGGAAUUCCGGGUGUAGCGGUGAAAUGCGCAGAUAUCAGGAGGAACACCGGUGGCGAAGGCGGGUCUCUGGGCCGAUACUGACGCUGAGGAGCGAAAGCGUGGGGAGCAAACAGG